RNAcentral lists this ribosomal RNA (505 nucleotides) under uncultured bacterium. RNAcentral's name for it is "partial 16S ribosomal RNA". It matches the Rfam family "Bacterial small subunit ribosomal RNA", at positions 28 to 507 of the family's 1533-position model. The record is from RNAcentral.
GACGAACGCUGGCGGCGUGCCUAAUACAUGCAAGUAGAACGCACAGUUUAUACCGUAGCUUGCUACACCAUAGACUGUGAGUUGCGAACGGGUGAGUAACGCGUAGGUAACCUGCCUGGUAGCGGGGGAUAACUAUUGGAAACGAUAGCUAAUACCGCAUAAUAUUGAUUAUUGCAUGAUAAUUAAUUGAAAGGUGCAAUUGCACCACUACCAGAUGGACCUGCGUUGUAUUAGCUAGUAGGUGAGGUAACGGCUCACCUAGGCGACGAUACAUAGCCGACCUGAGAGGGUGAUCGGCCACACUGGGACUGAGACACGGCCCAGACUCCUACGGGAGGCAGCAGUAGGGAAUCUUCGGCAAUAGACGAAAGUCUGACCGAGCAACGCCGCGUGAGUGAAGAAGGUUUUCGGAUCGUAAAGCUCUGUUGUAAGAGAAGAACGGGUGUGAGAGUGGAAAAUUCACACUGUGACGGUAUCUUACCAGAAAGGGACGGCUAACUACGUG